UAACAAGUGGGUUUGUUGACUG
RNAcentral lists this microRNA (22 nucleotides) under Glycine max (soybean). RNAcentral describes it as "gma-miR4409". Lineage: Eukaryota; Viridiplantae; Streptophyta; Magnoliopsida; Fabales; Fabaceae. The record is from miRBase by way of RNAcentral.